This 21-nucleotide microRNA is filed under the name Lotus japonicus. Its description in RNAcentral is "lja-miR11097c-3p". Lineage: Eukaryota; Viridiplantae; Streptophyta; Magnoliopsida; Fabales; Fabaceae. The record is from miRBase by way of RNAcentral.
AAAAAACUUUACACCGUCGGU